Molecule: ribosomal RNA, 446 nt
Filed under: uncultured bacterium
Lineage: Bacteria
Description: bacterial SSU rRNA
Rfam family: Bacterial small subunit ribosomal RNA
Source: RNAcentral
ACUCCUACGGGAGGCAGCAGUGGGGAAUCUUGCGCAAUGGGCGAAAGCCUGACGCAGCCAUGCCGCGUGAAUGAUGAAGGUCUUAGGAUUGUAAAAUUCUUUCACCGGGGACGAUAAUGACGGUACCCGGAGAAGAAGCCCCGGCUAACUUCGUGCCAGCAGCCGCGGUAAUACGAAGGGGGCUAGCGUUGCUCGGAAUUACUGGGCGUAAAGGGAGCGUAGGCGGACUGUUUAGUCAGAGGUGAAAGCCCAGGGCUCAACCUUGGAAUUGCCUUUGAUACUGGCAGUCUUGAGUACGGAAGAGGUAUGUGGAACUCCGAGUGUAGAGGUGAAAUUCGUAGAUAUUCGGAAGAACACCAGUGGCGAAGGCGACAUACUGGUCCGUUACUGACGCUGAGGCUCGAAAGCGUGGGAGCAAACAGGAUUAGAUACCCGUGGUAGGUGAC